This 933-nucleotide long non-coding RNA is filed under the name Gallus gallus (chicken). RNAcentral's name for it is "lncRNA (ENSGALG00010020774.1)". The record is from RNAcentral. Lineage: Eukaryota; Metazoa; Chordata; Aves; Galliformes; Phasianidae.
GUGAGUUUUUGGUCUGCAGGGGUGGUGGGUUGGGUGUCCAGAGUAGUGGGUGUGGGAAAGCUGGCAUUGCCCCCGUGGGGAUUUUCUUGCCUUUUCCAGACAUGACAUCCAGCGCAGACAUCCCGGUCGACAGCGCGGAGAUCGAUGAUAUCCUGACGUGGAUCAGCAACGGUGAGUUCAGGGGCUGCAGAGCAGGCGGGGAUGUCUGCUCCGAGUGGCUGUGGGAAAGCUGGCAUUGCCCCCUUGGGGAUUUCUUCCUUUUCCCAGACGGGACACCCAGCUCAGGCAUUCCAGAUGACAGCCUGGAACUCGACGGUUUGCUCAGCUGGAUCGUUGGUGAGUUCAGGGGCCGCAGCGGUGGCGGAUGGAUGUCCGCGCCGAGUGGCUGUGGGAAGGCUGCCGUCCUGGUUUUGGGGGAUGUUCUUUGUUUUGCAGAAGCGUCGAGUCCUCGGGAGGUCCCCCAGCAGGCGUUCCCAGCCGUCCCCAGCAGGCUCAGCACCUCUCCUUUCAUCAGAGCCCUCCGUGACCGUCCCAGCGGCAGCAGGGAGCUCAGCGGAGAGGCGCAGGCUGACGCCGGGCCCCUCAGCGAGCCGUUCUCGGGGCAGCCAGCAUCCUCUGGGCAGCUCUCUGAGCCGCUGCCCCGCGGGCAUCUGAUGGAAGAGGCGCGGCAGAGGCAGCCCCGGGUGGUUCUCACCCGCCUGGCACUGCCGACCCCCCUGGCUGCCCCCGCACCUCUGUUGCCCCGCACUGCACAUCUGAUCCAAGAUGUGCAGCGGAGGCAGCCCCGGGUGCUUCUCACCCGCCUGGCACUGCCACCCGGCUGCAUCUCCUGCCACGUGCCCCACAACCACCGCGGGGACGGCAGCGAGCCGGCCGAGUGCCCAACGCCCGCAUGCACCACCAGGAAAGGCAAGAGCAGAGGGCACGAGCAGC